CCUANGGGGGGCAGCAGUGAGGAAUUUUGCGCAAUGGGCGAAAGCCUGACGCAGCGACGCCGCGUGGAGGAGGAAGGUCUUCGGAUCGUAAACUCCUGUCAGGAGGGAAGAAAAUCGGCGGAAUGAAUAAGUCCGUCGGUCGACGGUACCUCUGGAGGAAGCCCCGGCUAACUCCGUGCCAGCAGCCGCGGUAAUACGGAGGGGGCCAGCGUUGUUCGGAAUUAUUGGGCGUAAAGGGCGCGUAGGCGGCUUGGCAAGUCAGUUGUGAAAUCCCCCGGCUCAACCGGGGAACUGCGACUGAUACUGCCGGGCUCGAGUCCCGGAGAGGGUAGCGGAAUUCCCAGUGUAGCGGUGAAAUGCGUAGAUAUUGGGAGGAACAUCGGUGGCGAAGGCGGCUACCUGGACGGGUACUGACGCUGAGGCGCGAAAGCUAGGGGAGCAAACAGGAUUAGAUACCCCUNUANUC
Molecule: ribosomal RNA, 466 nt
Filed under: uncultured bacterium
Lineage: Bacteria
Description: bacterial SSU rRNA
Rfam family: Bacterial small subunit ribosomal RNA
Source: RNAcentral